CGGGAGACCGCGUUUAGAGGAUCAGUGGCGGCCGCAUCCGCGGCCGGGCGCGGUGCGGGCGGCGGGCAGCGAGGUGCCCGAGCCCCUCCUGCUCCGGAGACAGCCCACGGCACCAGCCUCCGGAAAGCCCACUUCCUGACUUCAGCGGUGUGAAGACGAUACGAUACUUUUUUGGUGCUGGCCUUCAGCUGUCCCCCAAAGAGGUUGGCUGAUAUCCCUGCUUGGUGGAGAGGGGCCGGGGGCUAUCUGGAAAGAUAGUUCUGAUGACUUCUUCAUUGGGGGUGGCAGAGGAUUUGGGGAACGGGGCUGGGUGAAUUGCUGUUCAAACUACAUUGGGCUCUGUUUAUCUCAGAGGCCUUGGGGAUCUCAGUAGGGGAGAAGUUAGAGAAACUUAGAACACAGGAAGACAGGUGGAGGGAGUUCCUUGGCUCAGUCUUAGUACUGCCAUGCUAAAAUGAAGCCCAGGGAUGGUAAACAGAUACAACAGAGCAGGGUUUUUGGGUUCCAUGUGGGACCUUGGCCCUGGUUGCUGGGAGAUUAAGAAGUCCUUUGCAAGUUGUGGAAAGACCUAGAAGUUCCAUUUAUUCGUAAUCUUCGAGAAGUAAAUGCAAUCUCUUUUCGCUGCCUACUGGCUGGUACCGUGCAUUUCUGGCUUGUAUGAGCCUCAUUUGUGGUUCUGCCAUUUUCUCGUUCACGUUCCAGUUUGGACUUGCAGAUGAAGACCCCCAGCCUUCCCAGCUCUUGAAUUUUCUUUCCUCCCAGGCCAUUCAUAAUUUAGCCAACAGCCUAGGCCAUGGGUCGGCACACAUUCUGAGAGGUGAGCUGGGCAGGCCUGUGACUACGGGCGAGGUUGUUCUCAUUUGGGCUCAAGGGACGAUACAGCUUCCCCUUAAAAAAGCAGCAGGGAGCCAUUUCUGUGAAUCUUUUAAUGAAGGAUUUACUACUAAUUUGAUAAGUUCUGUGCUCUUUUUACUCAUUCUGGAUGAAUAACUUUGCCAGUCAACCCGAGGGUCUGCAAAACCUAUAAAAAUGCUUCCUUUGGUCUCCCUGUUUUAACACAUACUGGGGCUUGGGGCUGUCAGCCUCUGACAAACCCAGGGAGGAGCAGAAACAUUCCAAAGACCUGGUCUUAGAAUGUUAUCUCUUCCCCUACCCCAAAUCCUCACCCUCCAUGUUAUCUGUCCUUAUUGCAACUGCAGAGACCUCCUAGGGAAGUGUGAAGGGAUGGGUCUUAAUCAGGUUUGGGGAAAGAAGGAGAGGAAGUUGAACUCAAAGAAAGGUAGGGAGAGUCAGAACGUUAGAGGACGCUCCUCUGUUGUACUUCUUGUGUGUUGUAUAUGAUAGAUCUCCUACAAAUUACGCAUUGGCUGCGGUAAUCUACAGUGUAUAGGUUGGCAUUUGCCAAAUGCUGCUUGGCCAAAACAGUGUUAAAUAAAAUCGUAAGAAAUGCUA
This is a long non-coding RNA of Neofelis nebulosa (Clouded leopard), 1452 nucleotides long. RefSeq lists it as uncharacterized. The record is from RefSeq and is a predicted model, not a curated record. NCBI's taxonomy places the organism in Eukaryota, Metazoa, Chordata, Mammalia, Carnivora, Felidae. The transcript is spliced from 2 exons.